CCUACGGGGGGCAGCAGUGGGGAAUAUUGGACAAUGGGGGCAACCCUGAUCCAGCCAUGCCGCGUGUGUGAAGAAGGCCCUCGGGUUGUAAAGCACUUUCAGUGAGGAAGAACGCCUGGUGGUUAAUACCCAUCAGGAAAGACAUCACUCACAGAAGAAGCACCGGCUAACUCCGUGCCAGCAGCCGCGGUAAUACGGAGGGUGCGAGCGUUAAUCGGAAUUACUGAGCGUAAAGCGCGCGUAGGUGGCUUGAUAAGCCGGUUGUGAAAGCCCCGGGCUCAACCUGGGAACGGCAUCCGGAACUGUCAAGCUAGAGUGCAGGAGAGGAAGGUAGAAUUCCCGGUGUAGCGGUGAAAUGCGUAGAGAUCGGGAGGAAUACCAGUGGCGAAGGCGGCCUUCUGGACUGACACUGACACUGAGGUGCGAAAGCGUGGGUAGCAAACAGGAUUAGAUACCCCAGUAGUC
This 465-nucleotide ribosomal RNA is filed under the name Vreelandella stevensii. Its description in RNAcentral is "partial 16S ribosomal RNA". It matches the Rfam family "Bacterial small subunit ribosomal RNA", at positions 338 to 795 of the family's 1533-position model. The record is from RNAcentral. Lineage: Bacteria; Pseudomonadati; Pseudomonadota; Gammaproteobacteria; Oceanospirillales; Halomonadaceae.